GACAGAGGGUGCAAACGUUGUUCGGAAUUACUGGGCGUAAAGCGUGUGUAGGCAGUGAUUUAAGUCGGGCGUGAAAGCCCCGGGCUCAACCUGGGAAGUGCACUCGAAACUGGAUGACUAGAGUCUCGGAGAGGUGGGUAGAAUUCUCGGUGUAGAGGUGAAAUUCGUAGAUAUCGAGAGGAAUAUCGGCGGCGAAGGCGGCCCACUGGACGAAGACUGACGCUGAGACACGAAAGCAUGGGGAGCAAACAGG
This 253-nucleotide ribosomal RNA is filed under the name uncultured bacterium. Its description in RNAcentral is "partial 16S ribosomal RNA". It matches the Rfam family "Bacterial small subunit ribosomal RNA", at positions 524 to 776 of the family's 1533-position model. The record is from RNAcentral.